RNAcentral lists this unclassified non-coding RNA (419 nucleotides) under Hevea brasiliensis (rubber tree). The record is from RNAcentral. Lineage: Eukaryota; Viridiplantae; Streptophyta; Magnoliopsida; Malpighiales; Euphorbiaceae.
AGAUCUCUCAAAAUCUGGAACCUGUCCCACAAAUACAGUUUUUCAUACAUGAGAAGAAAACCACACCCAUGGUGUUGAUUUUCAAGAAGAAUUUAACAAAGCAAAGAAGAGCACCAAAGUGUGAAACAAUGAUAAUCAGAACAAGAUUUUAACAGAGACUACUACCACCAGAACCCAAAUGUCAUUCUUCAGAAUUAUGAUGGAUUACUGACAAAUGAUAUUAUAGCAAAUUUUUGAUAAAAACUAAAGUCAAGUUCUAACUGGUUGUCUUGCCUGCAUGGAUCUUCUUUCUCUAUUCAUUUCCAUCAAAUGCUAAAUUUUCAUUGAACAACUAUUGUCUCAUAUACUUCUCUUCUUAUCUACUCCCACUACUUGAAUCCAGUCACCUCCACACCUCUCUCAUUAAUCUUGCUCCUUCU